Molecule: ribosomal RNA, 253 nt
Filed under: uncultured bacterium
Lineage: Bacteria
Description: partial 16S ribosomal RNA
Rfam family: Bacterial small subunit ribosomal RNA
Source: RNAcentral
UACAGAGGUGGCAAGCGUUGUUCGGAAUUACUGGGCGUAAAGGGCGCGUAGGCGGCCUUCUAAGUCAGACGUGAAAUCCCCCGGCUUAACCGGGGAACUGCGUCUGAUACUGGAUGGCUUGAAUCCGGGAGAGGGAUGCGGAAUUCCAGGUGUAGCGGUGAAAUGCGUAGAUAUCUGGAGGAACACCGGUGGCGAAGGCGGCAUCCUGGACCGGCAUUGACGCUGAGGAGCGAAAGCCAGGGGAGCAAACGGG